CAGCUAGUUGGUGGGGUAAAGGCCCACCAAGGCUACGAUCCUUAGCUGGUCUGAGAGGAUGAUCAGCCACAUUGGGACUGAGGCACGGCCCAAACUCCUACGGGAGGCAGCAGUGGGGAAUCUUGCGCAAUGGGCGAAAGCCUGACGCAGCCAUGCCGCGUGAAUGAUGAAGGUCUUAGGAUUGUAAAAUUCUUUCACCGGGGACGAUAAUGACGGUACCCGGAGAAGAAGCCCCGGCUAACUUCGUGCCAGCAGCCGCGGUAAUACGAAGGGGGCUAGCGUUGCUCGGAAUUACUGGGCGUAAAGGGAGCGUAGGCGGAUAGUUUAGUCAGAGGUGAAAGCCCAGGGCUCAACCUUGGAAUUGCCUUUGAUACUGGCUAUCUUGAGUACGGAAGAGGUAUGUGGAACUCCGAGUGUAGAGGUGAAAUUCGUAGAUAUUCGGAAGAACACCAGUGGCGAAGGCGACAUACUGGUCCGUUACUGACGCUGAGGCUCGAAAGCGUGGGGAGCAAACAGGAUUAGAUACCCUGGUAGUCCACGCUGUAAACGAUGAGUGCUAGUUGUCGGCA
Molecule: ribosomal RNA, 569 nt
Filed under: uncultured Alphaproteobacteria bacterium
Lineage: Bacteria; Pseudomonadati; Pseudomonadota; Alphaproteobacteria
Description: SSU rRNA
Rfam family: Bacterial small subunit ribosomal RNA
Source: RNAcentral